Molecule: small RNA, 147 nt
Filed under: Salmonella enterica subsp. enterica serovar Typhi
Lineage: Bacteria; Pseudomonadati; Pseudomonadota; Gammaproteobacteria; Enterobacterales; Enterobacteriaceae
Description: StyR-10
Source: RNAcentral
GUAAAUACCUUUCAACUCAACCCGAGGCUUUGAUGCUGGAGAAUGUCAUCAUCUGAUAAUCAGUUACCCGACCUUUUCAGGCCGGACUGAUUAUCAAUGCGCCGAAAUCGAAUGCGGACACCGCAGUGUGUUUGCACGUUUUGCCUA